RNAcentral lists this long non-coding RNA (43131 nucleotides) under Citrus maxima (pomelo). RNAcentral describes it as "long non-coding RNA (CMAX_LNC001978)". The record is from RNAcentral. Lineage: Eukaryota; Viridiplantae; Streptophyta; Magnoliopsida; Sapindales; Rutaceae.
GGAAUGAGCCUUCAAUCAGAGGGAGGAAAACAGUGUAGACGAUCUGAUUGUCUUCGUUUCCAUCGUCCGAUUCGAUGUGGGACCCCUCUUUGGUUUCCACCAAUAAGAACUGAGUCUCGAGUGGGAUUUCACUGCCAUGGUCGCCCAUUUUCUGAGCCAUCCACCACAACUUGAACCUGAAACAGGCCAAGAAACGAACGUCACGCAAAGCCCCGAUGGGGAGCACGUGCCUGCUGUUUUCUUCAUCGAAAGCCGCGCCAAUGAAGACUCCCUCGACGGGACCGGAAGUCGAACCGGACGUCGUGAUCAAAUUGUCCGGCACUCCGGUUAGGAUCGUACGAUCCUUUACAAUUAGCUUCCUCUCGGCGAUCCUAACUACUGGUUUGAUCGUCAUCUCUUUAACUUCUUCUUCUUCUUCUUGAAGCUUCUUUCGAGGUGUAGUUAGCUCGUCUCUCUGAAAUUCCAAGAAGAAAAUUAACAUACAUAAAAAGACUUAACAAGCAAAAUGAGUUGAACAAUUUAAUUACCUUAAAAGAGAAGACCGAGAAUGAAGGAUUGGAAGAAUAUCUGCGAAUUCGAAGGCAUGAAGCCAAUAAACAAGAGCUUGUUAGAAACUGGCAGAAAUAAAAAGUUUCUUCAGAAAUGAAAGGAUUGGAGAAAUUAGAAAAAAAAUAAUAAUAUACCAGAAUCAGAAUGCUUCUUGGUUAAAACGACGAGUUUUGAUUUUGAGCUUGAGAAUGAGAUGCUGUUAAUAGAGCACGAUGUGAAUGAUGGGACAGAUGAGGACGAAUGAAUUAGAGGCUUGUUAUUUAUAGUGGGGGAUCUGAAACUGUAACAAGAAUUUGACACCAUUUUUUUUUUCUAUUGGUCUCCCUCUCUGUAUAACUUUCUUUUCGGUUUCGAUCUUCUCGUCCUCGUUCUCAAAGCAUUAUAUCGUGUUUCGCGCCACGUCACACUCAAUCCAACGGCGCUAAAAUAUCCUUCACCAGAGAUUACGUUCCCACGUCGGAUCCACGCUGUACCAAGGUUCAAUCAGAUAAUUCCAUGUACCAAAUAAGUUCUAAUACGUGGACUUUAUUAGGUCAUGCGCGUAGAUUAAAUCAAAUGCGCUGAUGUGUGUCCACGUACUCGGUUUCCGUCGCGCACUCGAAAAUUCAAUUUAAAAAUCAUAAAACAAUUUCCCAUGAAAUUUUGUUACGCGGCCUCUGGGAAGUGUGAACUGAAACGGCAUCGCGAGGCAUCCCCCUCGUGACCGUCCCACGCGGCACCAGGUCAUCAGCUGCCGGUGCCUUGGCUGCUCGUUUUGGCUAACCACAACCACCCACUAUUUUGUCCAAGUCAACAUCGAUAGUUCCAUAUCUUGGUAACUAAGCAAUAAUUAUUUUAAAUUUGGACGCAUAUCUAAUUUUCUCGUCUAAUAAAUCCCCGCGGCCAAAAUGUCUGAAACAAGUGUCCCGGGCAUCUUUUCUUGUGCUUGGAGAAUUUGAUUAGAGUGUUCGAAGGGGCCAACCAUGAUCAAUCAUCGAUGGUACACGUAAGGUUACAUAUGGGCCCUUGAUUUCAAUGAUUCCCUAUAUUUAUGUUAAUUUUUUUGUUUAUUGUGGGACCUAAUAAUGCUACUGCACCACAUGGGAAAUCGGGGCAAGUGGAAUGCAUGUUGCUGGGAGCUAUCAUCAUCAUAGGUCCCGAGAUUCUGGAUUUACACGAUUACUCCGAUUCCAGUCAUUUAUGAAUCAUCAACAAUUUAUUUUAUCAUAUAUUUUUACACGUAUCCAAAAUUCCACAUAAUUUUUCGAUUUUAAAUCAUGUGUUGUUUAUAUCAACAUACAAAUCAAUUAUUGGAGUGCAUGAUUGAUCACCCGUGCUUAUCAGUUUGUAAAUCAAUCAAUCCUAUUGACACCUCGUUUAAGAAAUUGUUAAAUUUAUGGCUGCAACUUGAUCCAGGUGUCACUCUCGUUUCUGUAUUUCAUUUUAGUACGAUGUACGUCUCAAAAAAUGGAUGGGCUUAGGUAGAGUGCGCAGUAAAUAAUAUUCAAAUUUAUUGCUGAUAUUGCACACUUUACAAUUUCUUAUGGGUGGUUGAGCUUCUUAAGUCGCAAUUCAUUUUUCACCAAAAUCGUAUUUGAAUCUUGAUAUUUUCCUACUCAAUAAAAUGAUUGAAGCACUGAAACCCAAUAGAUUUUCCAUCCGUCUACGUGCUUUAUAUUUUGGCUUCACAAAAAUUUUCAAGAACUUUCCACAAAAUUCAUCUUCCAAUUAGAUUUUUCAUCACGUGGAAAAUUUGUGUGCGUAAUAAAAGAAUUUCACUCCAUCACGCUACAUAAUAACGAUUGCCAAAAGCAUUACGGCUUUUACCGUUUCAUUGGACGUUUAUGUGAAGCCUAAACUUGUUAUAUUUCCACUGAUCAAAUCACGUGCGUGAUGUUUCCUUUCCACUAAUUAUGUGCCUCAGCCUCACGCACCAACUUUGGAACUAUCUGCGGUUAUUUGCUAAUUUUGCCACUAAUAUUCUUCGCCUACUAAUAGGAUUGUGAGAUAAUUAAUGAUAAAACGUGUCAGCUGUCACGUGAUAUAAGAGCUUUUAAGCAGAAAUCCCAAACAAUUGCGCUGAUUAAGUGAAAAGGACGGGACACGUGUGUGGUUAUAGUUGUUCGAACAAAAAUAUCUGAUAGUCGCGGAAGAUCUGUAUGAUGUGAAGUGCGGUCCGCAAGCUUGUCUCUGACAUCAUCAUCGUACACGAGACACGCCUUUAGUUUCCUUCGUACUCCUUUUGUCUCCACGAGUUUUUAACCGUACGAUACCGGCGUAGAGAACACUGAAAACUCGCUUUGUCUAGCCGACACCUGUCAUAACCACGCGUUUCUGGAGGUUAGAUUAAGAUUACUUCCUGUGGGGGUAGUUUUGCUAUGGUAGCGUGGGUGAAAGCAAGCGCGUGAGAUGGCAGGAGAGGACUGGGUGCUUCGCGAAGUUAGAAAUGUUCGAUGGAGUGUAACUUGAUGUAGGGUGUAGAUGAGUCUGGAAAACGGUGAUUGAUGAACCAGUGAUGCUGUGAAAAUCUCGUGAAUAUUCUUGAUGUUUAAAAUGGUAAAGUUAUGGUAUGCUGGUGCUUCGUCACCCAUUUUGGGGACAAUGGCAGCGAGAAUGGCGAUUGGGUAACGUGGGGUCGGGUGAUGAAUUCUUUGGCUCAACUAUCUUAAAAUAAAAUUCUCCUUAGAAAAUUUUCUCAUUCUCAUUAGGCAAUUGGUGAGUGCAUUUGCUGUAUGAUUGUCCUUGAAGAAUUUUAAAAACGGGGCUUAGAUAAUUACCGAUCAACUAAAUCAAAUAGGAUAAUAGAAUUUUAUAAACAGGGCUAGACACUGUAUUUUGUGAGAGCUGUAGCUAAUCUAGUCUGUAAGCUAACAUGACCUUUAAAAAUAAAUUAUAUAUAUAUUUUUUUACUAGAUUUUGAUAUGAACCACUUUUCUCUUAUAGAAACGGUCGGUGAUUGUGAGUUGUUUAAAAAAUUAAAUCAAUCCAAACAUUUGGCUAAAUUUAAACAAUUGAUUUUUGUGAAUGCUUAAUUCAAAACAUUUUUGAAAGUUAGGGUGGAAAUGAUAAGGAGAGCACGGUUAUUCGCCUAGCCAAGCACACACUCCAAAAUUAGGGUUUUGUCCUUUAAUCAAUUAUCAAAGCCUUUGCAGUUUACAACAAUGUCGAGUUCCUCCGAUCUACUGAAAGAAAUCAUAAGUCUAAUAUCUCCAAGCUCCAAUUCAAACAAAUCAUUUGGUUGCUCUUUCUCUGUUGAACUUGCAAGAAUAAUCUAAUAUCAAUCCGUCUUCAAUUCAAGCCCUAGCUCAAAGCACUCAUAGUCUGAUCACCUCAAUCUCGCUAAUACAUUUGAAGAAGAUGAAGAAAUGUAAGAAUAAGUACGCCUAUUCAUUGGAUUGAUUAAAAUGAAGGUAACGCUGUGUUACUGAAAAUAAUAACUGUGUUCUAUCCUUUUAACCCACUUUGAUUUAUUUUCUUUUUUUUUCCCUUAUCACUUGUUUAUCUCUUGAUCGCAGGCAAUAUGUGAUUUAGGUGUAUGGUGUAUAUCUAUCCAAAAAAAUAAUUUGGAGGCGUCGUUUCUUCUGCUCACUUCCAGUCACUCUUGCGGGCAGUUACUCACGCCCUUGACAAUCCUAUUGGUCCUUUGUUUAACAACAUUAGAGGCCGUACAGGUACCGGACGCAGUAAUUGUUGAUACUAUAGUGACUUGCUCUUAUUACCCUAAGCAUGGAACAUAACACAGUCUAUUAAUGCAGUAAUUCUUGUGAGGUAAUAAAAUUUCAAGACUAACUUGCAUUUAAGUUGUGUUCACAAUAAGAAAAUGUUAGCUUUGUCUUUAGAACUAAAUCUUUGAUGCUGCUGUAAUAGGCUGCGCGAUGAAGUUAUCAGCUCAAUUAAGUCAACAAAUGAGAGAAUUCUCGGACAUAUGGGUCGUUUCUUCAAUGUGUAGAGAGAGGACUUCUUACCAUUGACAAAAAGAAAAAGGGACGCGUCAGAAAAGUGUGUGCUAAAGACGAGUCCACGAUAUUUCCUCCAACACUAGCGCUGUCAAUGAGCUUGUGAUUUUCCUCUUUUAACACUUAUUUCUAAUGGAGAUGCAUAUCAAACGUAGAAAGUCGUUUAUGACGAGUGAUCCUGUUAUGCAAUCUAGCGAAAAGAUUAUUAAGUAACUGAUUCAAUUAAUAUCAAAUCGAAAUCAUAUCAUAUAACUCGAUUGAAUCACUAGUUUCUUUAAGUUUAUUUUUAUACUUUAUAAACAUUAAUAUUAUGCAUGAGAUAUUAUUUUUAUAAAUUAAUAAAUUAUUCAUUUUUUUAAUAUAUUAAUAUUUAUUAAAUUAAUAAAUUUUUUAUGAUUCUAAGACUGUCAAGAUUAUACUAUAAUAUAUAGGCAAUAUCUAUCUUACAUGCAUGUAAGAUACACUCUCCUCAUAUGAAUAGUGUGUGAGUCUCAUACAUACACUAUUUAUAUAAAAAAAAUACAUUUUACAUGCACGUAAGAUAGAGGGAUCCUAAUAUAUAAUAUAGAAAUGCCCAUGAGAAAUACAUGUCCGUGUACAAAAGCAAAAUAUGUAUCAACGUCCAACGAAGUGACGGACUGACAGCGAACCCGGAGGAGCCUGUAAUUGAUUUUUUUUUUUUUUUUAAGAGUAAAAAGAGAUGGGUGUGGUUAGAAGGUCAGAAUACUAGGGUGCUUCUGAUGACGACAUGCGCUGUUUCUCUGAAAAAAAUUCAUGGCCAGUGCAGCCCAGCCCAUCCAAAGUCUUGGCCCCCACAUAAUGAAUUGCAAAUUGCAAGACAUGAUUCUCUACAAGAGGAUGCUGUAAAAUAAGGCGAAAUAAAAAAAAUGUGGAAAUUAAUAUGAGCUACUUUUUUCAAACUAAAGACUCGUGGUAAGGGCGUUAAUACCCCAACAUAAUACGAGAUGAGUUAUUUGUAUUUUGCAACAUUAGUUUUGUAAAAAUAUUGUGCGUAAUAUUAGUGAUAUAAAUAUUUGUAUAAAUCAGUGACGUGUCAUGUCAUCUCUAUAUUUUUACAAACAAAUUACAAUGCUACAUUUGUAAAGUUUUGAUGUAAGUUCGUGUCUCCACCGAAGCGACUUAAAAUGAUAUUCAUACAACUCGUGAUGUCCUGAUGACAUAUUAAAUAAGUAAUUAUUUAACACAUAACGUAUUCUGAUGGAUAUGUAUAAUAACCAGCUGUGAUACGACUGUGUAUCACAUCAAAUAUUAUGAUGGAUAUGUAUUGUAACAACAGUGGUGCUUUCAUUAAUUUGUAAUCAUAAUAGAAUAGAAAUCGGAAUUAAUUAAAAUCCAAAUCAGAAUAUUAAUGUGUUUAUUUUAUCUUGAAAUCAAGAAUGAAUUGUUAUAAUUACUAAAAUGUACUUAGUUAACUAUUAUUAUUAUUAUUGUUGUUAUUAUUCUUAUUAUGUGUUAUAAUUAUUAUUAUGAAAAAAAUUUAUAACAACAAAAAUAUUUAUAAAAUAACAACAAUGACGACGACAAUAAUAAUAAUAAAUACAAAUGGGCAUCAUCAUUGUCAAGCAACGGUCAGCGACAACUGAGACGAAUAGUAACAAUGAUAAUCAACAAGUAAUAGUGCCAACAAGAUCGGUCUAUACAGUACUCAAUCUGAUUUUUGUAUUUCCAUUUGAAGUUUUCAAAUAUAAAGGAAAGACAAAACGAAAAUUAUAAAGUUUAAGUGGGAUAAUUUUGUGAGUCUGAAAAAUGGAGUUAUCAUUUUCAACCCCUCAUAAAAUUCAGAACUCUACUAAUCAUUUCUAAAUUAAUGUAUCCCUUACUAAUUUAAUUUCCAAUCCCCUCUUUAUUUUAAAAUUAAAUAAAUUAUUGACUCACAUUCUCAUCUCAUUCCCUAAUAAGUAAAUACAUCGAAGGAUUAUUGUAAGUCAAAUUCCACACUUCAAACUAUUACUUAUUUACUUGAAAAAGAGGUCCACCUCCGAAAAUAGCCCGAAACCAGAAGACAAAACAAAAGGAGAAUUUCCUACGACCACAAUAAGAAAAUACAACUGCAAAGUACCGAAUCAAAACUGCUAGUAAAGUUACUCAUUUGGACUCAAAACGCAGCCCGUACACUUUCUCUCGCUAUCGCAAAUUCGGUAGCAUAGGUUUUUUUCCUCUGCAAAUCGGACGCACAUUACAUACGCUCGCUCUAAUUGAACCGUACUCCUUUGCAAAUUUCCCAAAUUAAAUCUCUUUAGGUUUCCCCACAUCUCAAACAAAAUAAUAAUAAUAACAAAAAUAGAACAAAAAAAACCCCAAAGGCCAAAUCUAUCCAAAUGAAAUUAAAAUCUCUGCCUAGACUAUCGUAAAACCUAGGGUUUUUAAUUUAUAUUUUUCUACAAAAAUAUUGUUUGAUAUUUUACUGAAUCGGAUACGUUCUGUUGUCGAGAUUCAAGUUGUGUUGUACCUGAUUGCGAUUGUAGCCCCUGAUCGGUCGAUCUGGUCAUGGAUUCUCGAGAUUCAACGCAAUCGACGGCCGCUGGUAAUACCUCCGGUGAAGACGACAGUGGCGUUCUCUCCGUCACUGCCACUCUUGCUAAGGAAGCCGCUCUCUACUUUCAGUCCCGUAAGUUCGACGAGUGCCUCGAUUUGCUCAAACAGCUCCUGGAUAAGAAGCCCGAUGAUCCUAAGGUAAUUUCAAUAUUUGUCUGUGAAAUAACUUUCGGUGUUUGUUCCUUUAUACACGCUUAAUGAUGAUUCGAUCUUUUUUUUUUGCCCCCCUUUUCGUUUAGAGCUGGAAAUGAAUACGGCUCUGAUUUGUUUGAAUUGUGACGUAUAAAGUUUUGUGUGCUACUGUUAGUUUCAUUGUAAUCAUUAUUAGAAUUUUAGUUUAAACAAUGUGGAUGGUUUGUGCUCUAUUGCAUGCUAAUCAUACUAUACUAGUAUUGUCAAUUCUGGAACUAGACUAUCCAAUCCAUUUUGAGCUCUUUGAAACCUUGAAAUGUGAGUGAAUUUGGUGAAUGAUAGAGAAUGACUAAGAGUAAGCAGUAGAAAAAAAAUGUUUAUGCAAGCUAACUACUUUUAUCAGAGUAGUAUUAAUUGUUGGUGUACCAAGUAAUUUUACUGAGAAAAUACAAAAUCACUAGAAGCUGGACCGUCUGCUUAAGUUCAACAAUAGUAUGGACUAGGUCUAGGGAUUUGUUUGUGGACUGUGACUGGGAUUGGAGGGAUCUUAUGCUUACUGUUGUGGCUUACUCUAUGCUGCUGCACUAAAUUAUUCAUUCCUUUGGAAGUGCUCAUGUCCUGUAUUCAGGUUAUUGAAAUUUGAUUUUAUUAUAUGUGUAGAUGAGAAUUUAUGCAUUAUCUUCAAAAAUAAUAAUGAAUAAGUAUGAUUCUUUUACCUAAGCAGUUAAGGCCAUAUUCUAUGACCUUUGCUGUCUUUGUAGUUAGUUCCACAGCACAAUAGCAAUAGCUUUUAAUUGUCCUGAUUUUGCAACAUUUCAACGUAAGUGCAGUGUUGCGUGUCCCUUUUUAUUUUGGUGGAUGGUCUUUAAGUUCUUGGAUUGUUGAUUUUUGUUCAGAUUCUUCAUAACAUUGCAAUUGCCGAAUACUUUCGGGACGGUUGUACAGAUCCAAAGAAGCUGCUUGAAGCUCUUAAUAAUGUGAAGGUAUGAUAAUAUCUCUUUUAUAUGGAGGUUCACAAGGACAUCCUUUUUCUUGGCCAUCCAUAACCCCAUCUUGUAAUCAUAUUUUUGAAUAGUAUGAUAGAAGUUGAGAUCCAGAGGCAGUAGUCUGUCAAUCUUGGUACAUAGAUAGUUGUAAUGGAGUGAAUUUUUUUUAUUGAGGACAUCUCUUUUGGAAUUUGUCUAUAGUAAGAGGCCAUCGAUUUUCUGUAGUACGCAUUUUUUUUUUAUAGAUUUGUUUGUGGAAAUAUAGACAUAUAUCCUUCUUAAACAGUUGAGCUAAUGGGGAGGUAGAUCUUCCUCCCAAAAGGAGCAAUAUUCAUACUGGACGGUUUUGUGGAACAAAUAUAUUCACUUGUUUACUAAUUAAAUCUAUCUAACUGUAUCUUGCUUCUUUACCUUUCAUCUACUGUUUGAAAGUAUUCCCAGUCAUUUUUCAGAUCUUUUUUCAGAGUGCAAGCGUGAAUAUAAUUGCUGUUAAAAAAACAUGUUUGACCUUCAUUGCAGCCUGAUUAGGUGGUCUUGAUUUGGAUUAUUCUUUAUGGAGGUUGUGUGGAAUGAUUUCCAAGAGAUUUCUCUUGCCCUGCAUGGUCGGAACUUGAAAUUUAAUAGGUUCAGUUUUGUGCUCCUCUAUGAUAGGCUGCUUUAUUUUAUUAAUAAUUAUUUUUCGUCCUUUCUUUCUGAAUUUCUCUAAUUUAACUAGAAAAAGGAUAGGUCAUAAGAGAAUCAUCAUCAUCAUUAUUAUUAUUUAUGUUAUGAAAGAGUAGGUUGUUUUAUACUAAGAUUUUCAGCACAUUAUGUAAUGUAUUCAUCUUGUUAUACUAAUAUUUUCAGCAAAUAAUUAUUCAUUUUGUUUUGAUUCUGAAUGAUUUCUCAUCCAUUUCUUCUUUGGUGCUGCUGUAGAACAAAAGUGAAGAACUUGCACGUGCAACUGGGGAACAGACGGAGGGUGGUGGCAAUAUUGGAAAUAAAGUCGGUUUGGGGUCUAAAGGAAGUGGCGUUGUGGGAAAUCAAGUUUCUGCUGCUAAUAGUGGGAGUUUAGUAUACAUGGAUGAGUUUGACGUGUCUGUCGCAAAACUGAACAUUGUAUGCUUCCUUGAUCUUCAAGUAGCUUAUUGAAUUGCUAUAAUUAGUUUUGAGUGUUCAACCAAAGGAAUUUAACUUUUAUGCUAUUUGUUUCUGAAAUGACUUCUUGUUUCAAUUUUGUAUAGGCGGUUAUCUGGUUUCAUCUUCAUGAAUAUGCAAAGGCAUUAUCAGUUUUAGAGCCUUUGUACCAAAAUAUAGAACCAAUAGAUGAGGUACAACUAGUUUUUGCCUGACUUUUGUUUAGGUUGUUGUAAUGAUGUGCUAACUGCUUUUCUAACUUUUAAACGCAGACAACGGCGCUUCAAAUUUGUCUCUUGUUGCUUGAUGUUGCGCUAGCUUGCCAUGAUGCUUUCAGAUCUGCUGUAAGUGAUUAUGAUUACAUCGUGGUUUUUGCAAUUUUUCAAACUUCACUGUUUUCCUGUAUGUUUCCAGCAGGCUGAUUCUGUGUUAAGCAGUAAUGAAACUUCAUCUGAUAGAAGAUCUGUGGUUCAGUUUUCCUACCACUAAGUUUUACUUUGUAAAAAAAAUGUUGUGAUGCAUGGAGGAAUCAUGCUACGUGUUAGUUGAAAGCCUUUUUAUAGGAAAUAUUUUUAGAGGCUGCAUAACUAGUGAUAACUUCCCCCCUUUCUCUCAAUUCAUCUUUUCCAGUUUCUUGUCAGAAAAGACUGGUGAAUGUUGCCCUAGAGUUUUCUUCUAUGGUCUUUAAUUGCUUGGUGAACUGUGUGAACAACUUACUUUUGGAAGAGACGUCAAUACAAUCAUUUUCAGAGUAGACGGUGUUUUAUUCAAAGUUGAAUUCUUUGUGAUUAGAAUAUGUUAAGUAUUAAUAACUGGAAUCUUAAAUUUGAUUGUAAUCCAAAUUUAAUUCUUAUGAUGAAGUGCAUGCUAUCUGUAUUCUGUAUCGUAAUUCACUUGGUUCAAUCUCAUCAUUUUGUGCUGUCGAUUACAAACAAUGUUGCUGAACCAUUCCAUUAGAAUCAGAAUUGCAUUCUAUUUGUGUACACACGAGACACGACUCUUUUUUUUGCCCCAGCAUUAUGCUUUAUUAAAUAGCUUUUGCAUUUCAUGGGUUUUACUACUUGUGCUUUGAAAAUUAUUUACCUUAUAAUUUGUCUUGUGAGGUUAUCUUUGUUUUCUUUCUAUCCUUGUUUCAGUAAUGAUAACCAACUCUUCAACCCCUCUCUCGUUCCCUCCAUGUCUGUGCGUAACUGUGUGUACAGUGUUGGGAAAUUAUUGUUGUAAACUGAGUUUUUGGAGUGGAGGAAGGCAUUUUAUUUUCCAAAUUUUCUUGCCACAUAGCUAGAUAUGCAUUUCAUCCAUAUGAGGAAGCUUGCCUAACCUUUUUAAUUAAAACAUUUUUGAAGUGUAAUACUUCUAAUGUUCUUGGCCUGGCAAGCCUUGUGUAGAAGACGAUUGAUACUUUUAUGAAAUUGUUUCAACUUUUGGUAAAAGUUUUGUAUCAGGAUUGCUGCUUGUUUUGAUGAUUGUUGUGAAUUUUGUUGUGAACCUUCUUGUGUGUGAUUGUAAUAAAGUUGAUUUACUUUGUAACUAUUUUGCUGACAUUUUGUCUUGGAUAUGAGGUCUUCUUUACUGUUUUUGCAACUGAUAAAUUGUAUCAUAUUAAGUAUUCUCCAUUGUGAUUCUUGAUGUACAGGAUGUGUUACUAUAUUUGGAAAAAGCUUUCAGUGUUGGUUGUGUGAAUCAAGUUGAUAGUGGUAGCAUGGGACAACAAUCGACUAAUCUACUUGCAAAAUAUUCCUCUGUGCCAAGCAAUUCAUCAACUGCAGAUGCUUCUAAUUCCGAUUUGGCUGCUACAGUAAAUGCCUCGGAAAAUGCUUUGUCAAGAACUCUAUCAGAGGAAACACUUGAAGAUGAUACAGUGUUAGCAUUAUCAAGCCUGGAGAUCAGUGGUCAGAAUUUAACAAGGCCAGUCGGUCUUUCUUCAAAUGAACUUUCGAGGACCCUUGUUGAUAGGUCCAUCUCUACUGUUGAUCUUAAACUGAAGUUGCAACUUUACAAGGUUCGAUUUCUUCUCCUCACUAGGAACCUAAAGCAUGCAAAGCGUGAAGUCAAGCUUGCAAUGAACAUUGCACGUGGGAAAGAUUCAUCCUUGGCUCUCUUCUUGAAGUCCCAGCUUGAGUAUGCCCGUAGGAACCACCGUAAAGCCAUUAAGUUGUUGCUGGCGUUAAGUAACCGGACAGAGAUGGGGAUUUCAAGCAUGUUCAACAACAAUCUUGGCUGCAUUUAUUAUCAACUUGCAAAAUAUCAUACAUCAUCAGUAUUCUUAUCCAAGGCACUAAGUAAUUCUGCAUCUCUUCGGAAGGACAAACCUCUGAAACUGCUAACUUUCUCCCAGGAUAAAUCUCUCCUCACAACAUAUAAUUGUGGACUGCAGUAUCUGGCUUGUGGGAAACCAGUACUAGCGGCUCGCUGUUUCCAGAAGUCAAGUUUAGUUUUCUAUAAACAGCCUCUAUUGUGGCUCCGACUUGCUGAAUGCUGCCUAAUGGCUUUGGAAAAGGGACUUGUAGCACCAGGUAGGUCUUUAUCUGAUGGAUCAGAAGUUAAGGUUCAUGUUAUUGGCAAAGGGAAGUGGAGAUAUCUUGUAAUGGAGGACGGGUUUCGAAAAAAUGGACAUGUGGAUUCUCCGGAGAAGGAUGAUUCAUCUCUGGGCAGUGAUGGACAGCCUAAGCUCUCGAUGCCCCUUGCCCGGCAAUGUCUCCUUAAUGCCUUGCACUUGUUGAACUAUCCCGACUUAAAUUAUUCGAAGUUUGGUUUGCCCUCGAAUUCAUCUGUGGAGGAAAGUGAGUCAAGCGAAGGGGCAUCUUCCAAGAACUUGAACCACAAAAGCUUGUCCAGUCUUGAUUCCAAAAUAUCAGUAGGCUUAGGUCAGGUUACUGCAAAUGGUGAUGCAAAAGAUCAAAAAGGAGGAACUAGUCUGGAGGUCAUACAGAACUCUCUUUCUUAUUAUGAAGAUGUCUGUAGAAGAGAAAAUCAGAUGAUUAAGCAAGCUCUCCUUGCCAAUUUGGCAUAUGUAGAAUUGGAAAUGGAAAAUCCCGUGAAGGCCCUUGCUGCCGCAAGGUCUCUCUUGGAACUCCCGGAUUGUUCAAGAAUUUACAUUUUUCUGGGUCAUAUCUAUGCAGCUGAGGCUCUGUGCUUGCUGAACAGGCCCAAAGAAGCGGCUGAGCAUUUUUCGAUGUAUUUGAGUGGAGGAGAUCAUUUUGAUUUGCCAUUCAGUGGAGAGGACUGUGAGCAAUGGCGAGUAGAGAAAAUCAUUGAUUGUGAAGAACUAAAUGGAGGGCCAGCGGCUGCUAAGAAUCCUUCCCCUGAGGACUCACGAGAUACCAUGUUUCCCAAGCCAGAAGAAGCACGUGGAACACUUUAUGUGAAUAUUGCUGCAAUGUUUGCAAUGCAAGGUGAAUUUGAACGAGCCCAUCAUUUCGUGACACAAGCAUUAUCCAUAUUACCCAGAAGCACAGAAGCCACUCUGACAGCAAUUUAUGUGGAUCUUAUGCUUGGCAAGUCACAAGAAGCUCUUGCCAAGUUGAAAUACUGUAAUCACGUCAGAUUCCUCCCCAGUGGUUUACAAUUGAGUAAGUCUUGCUGAUGAUGUUGUAAUCCGGUGGCUUUUUAUUCUUUGUGUCUGGUCCUCCCCUUGGAGCUAGUUAGCAGGUAGAUCAGCAAUCCUUCUAGAGGAUUUGUAACAUAUAUAUAGUUCAAUUCAGAGAAUAAUUUUUUUUUUUUUAACUGUUAAUUUUCUUCCGGUUGUUCAUUUUUAGGGUCCAUUGAUAUGUGGUGAGGCGGAGUGUUUUGGUUAUAGCGGAUGCCCACCUUUUACAUUUGAGAUUUAGUUCUGAUUCAGAUUUUUGUCUUUUAGUGGCUGAUCCAUUUGGUAUUAAAGAAGCAGAGAAAAUACCAUGUGCACUUCUUUAGAUUGAAACGACAAAGAGAGGAAAAUUCUUUUCUGAAUUUGGAUUCCCAGAUAUGUUAUGGUUAUAAGAAUUGUUAGAAUUGAGUCGGUUUCUGUUGGAGGCUCUCGAAUUGCUGUAUUUUAUGAUGUGGAUACAUGCUCUUUAAUUAAUUAGGAGAUGCUAGAAUGCUUACCUGGGAAAGUAAUGAUAUACUGGGCUCGCGGUGGGAAGUGGGAACAAGUUCUCUUGUUGCAAGCACGUAGAUACGGAUCAGAUUCAUCUGAUGUACCGCAAGUUUUUUCUCACAGAACUGAGAAAUAUGAUACAAAGCCUGAUGUACGCUUGCAUUAAAUCAAGUUACAUGUCCGCUACCCACUAGAUUCAUUUGACUGUGAAUAGUUUUGCUUGGGCGGCAAGGGAACUUUUGAUCGUCGAGAUAACAAGUAGUACGUGGAAAACAAAAUCAAUAAUGGAGGUCAGGCAAGUUGUGUCGGGUCAUCUCAAGUUUUGGCUCCAUUUCCCUUAACCUGAUGAUUUCAAUUCUCUUUUCGCAUUCUUUGAUAUAUUAGUUCAAACUUCAAAGGAUGAGCAUGAUGGUUCCGCGUUCCGCUUAUAGUAGUGGGUCCCUUCGAAGCCCAUAAACAACAAACAAAAUGUUGCUACUUUAAUAGUAAUAAUAGUAUCACACAAGACAGGAGUGUGUGUGUCUAUUUCCAAUUGGUUUAAAUGAUAAGAUCUCUUCUCAAAAAAAUUAGAAAGAAGAGGUUUUAGAAUCAAACUUCAUUUUAUUCAUUCUAACAUUGGGAUGGCGUUGGCUCUAUCUUUGGCUUCUAUUGAAUUUUCCAGGAGGUGGUUUCCGCUCCUGUCUGAUGAAAUCUUAUAUCGAAUGUAUAAAUUAAAAUGCAAAACAGACUAAUGAGUCAAUAAUACUUCAUCGCUGUUCUAACAAAGUUGGGCGUUCGGGACUGCUGCCACCGCCGCAGCGCAUUCAAGCAGACACUAAGCCGACAUAUUUUCUAUCUUUAUUUCAUGCUUCACAAUUCAUUUUCUAACCUUUAUCUAUGAAGUAUGAUAUAUUCUCCAUUUUCAUUCGUUGUGUAAGAUGAACUCUACAUUAAAUAAAGUAAUUUUAACGAAAUCAGUACACCAACAAAAAAAAAAAGAGAGAGAGAGACCAAAAAACCUCAAAGAUUGGGAUAUAAUUCUUUCAUAAUUAACUAAUCAUUUGAGGUACAAUUUUUAAAAAGAUAGUAUCACUAAAAAGAAAGGUUGCGAACUUAUUCCACAUGCAUUUUCUUUUUAUUUUUUUUCCCAAUAAUUUCUUCUUAUUAAAAAAUUAUGAUGACUCAUCUUUCCAAGUUUUAUCAAUUGAUUGGUUCCUUUUUCCAUAUUAACCUUCACCUGUAAAAUCAUUUUUAAAAGCUCCCUUAUGGUUACACAUAUAUCCCAGUCCCACAACAAUCGACUAACUUAAACCACGAAACAAUUAUAUUCCUCACAUAUAUUGGGGUCUCUUUUCUUUCACUAAACUAGUUACCAAACACCUAAACAAAAUUAUUUACAAUGGACAUUUCAUAAAUUUUAUAAGAGAAUUUAAAAACACCAAGGCAUCUGUUGAUGUCGAACAAGAGCGGGGAACCCAUCAAGCGCACAGACACCACACGUUACACUGGGAGAAAAGACAAACUAAGUUCAUGUGACUUGGUUUUAUACUUUUAUGGUGGCCCCUUACAACUUCAACCCUACAUGGGCAAUAAUUUUACGUACUCUUCCUUUUUGAGUUUUAUCAAAAUAUUGCAUAGCUUAUCAUUAUUCAAAAUUACUGCACAAUUCCUAUCCUCUUGUGCUAAGUUUUAGUGUUUCUUCAUUGGUACAAUUUUAUAGAACAAUGGUAUAGAAAGAUUUGGGUUUGAACUUCUAUUCACAUAGGUGGAGAGAAAAUUUAGUUUCUAUUCAUCCAAAUACUUGAUUUACUUAUUUUACCACUAAAAGCUUGCUAAUUCAUAUUAAAGAUGGCCCAAAUUGUGUUUAUAUCUUUGAUUCAUUCAUUUUCCAUUAAAUUUGUAAACUCACAUAACUAGUACUAGUAACACUCACCUAAAAUAGUUCAUUAAGGUUUAAUUUCAGUAUGACGUCCUAACAAGGUGAGCUCUUUGUCUCUCUCUUCAAUUUUUUAUAAGAGCUAUUACCUUAUAUAUAGAUAAGUAAUUUAUUAACCUCCUUUACAAUUCUAUCUCUAAAGGGUUAUAUUUUUUCGAUUUUGAGUCUCCACUUUCUACCCAUAGAUUUCUUUAAGUGUUCUUUGAAUGGUAAUUGAAAGAAUUAAAGAUGCUUUCAUAGUCCCUAUACUUCACUUUAAUUAUUUGUACAACACUUUUUAGCUAGCUAGACUUGUGAAAGUUAGCAUAUAUAGAACACUCGAAAUCCACAACCAGCAUGUCUCCGUACCUCUAUAUUUCUUGUUUAUAAUAGCUUUAGAACAAUUUUAAAAUUGAGCGUGGGACUUUUAAAAUAUCAUAGUUGAUGUAAAAUGGAAUCACUGGCUCUUCAUUAGUUAUAAUAAGAUAGAUAGUUGAUUAAAAUUAUUAAUUACUGGUAUUAAUAUUCACCAAACGCUUUACGUAUUAUGCACUACCUAUGGAACACUUGCUAAGUCAAGAACCUCGCGCUGUUUUUCGGUUCUAUAAUUAAAUCAGGGUUUGCUUCACUUUUCUCUUUUAAUGCUAUUUAAUUAUUUCAAUUAAAUUAUGUAAUAACAGAUGGCAGGUUCAAGCAGACCCAUUCCCAUUCUUCAAAGAUCUUCUUCAAACUUCCAUCUAUAUAUAUAUAUAUAUAUUUAUUUGUAGAAUUAAAAAAAACUGAUUACAUCAAUGAAUGAUUGAAUGAAAAGAAAAUAUUAUCUGUGCAUGCAACAAAUCAAAGACACUAGAAUGAAAAUGAGGUAGGAAAAUCAAAUAAUUGCUGCCUUGUCAAGGACAUUGAAAACACACAUACAAUGCGACAAAUCAUAUAAAAACAAAUGGGUGUACAAUUAAAUGUGACCAAACAUUACAAUCCCAACAAUGAGAGAAAGACAGAGAGAGUGGGGGAGAGAGAAAAAGAAACAAACAAAUAAGUCUCGACAUCCUUUCAUGUCGAUUUCUUCCUUCAGUAUCCAUCAUCAAUCUACCAACCUGCAUCCCCACAUCAUCACAUCUAAUCAAUCAAUAGCAUAUAUGAUUGAUGUAUGUAUGUAUGUAUGUAUGUAUGUACGUACGUACGUACGUAUAUAUAUAUGUAUGUGUGUAAGUACGUAAGUACUACAAUUUACGAUAUGUCGGAGGCUCGGUUUAUUUAAACUUUCUGGCAACUGUGCUGUCAAUAGUAAGCUUACUUGUUAAAGUGUUUUGAUAAACUUGCAGGUUGAUUUUAACAACAGAACUGAUAAUUUUCUAUGACUAUAUAUCAAGUAGGCAUUCAUAAAUUAACACCUAAUACUUUCAUUCUACAGUAGAUAAAGCACCGAAUAUCAAACAAACAUAAGAAAAAUACAGAAAUUUGUUCAUGAAACUACGGAGUAACAAUAAAAGAAGAAAGAGUAAAAAUUAAUAUAUGCUCAUAAGAGAAGAAGGUAAGCUCAUGCAAAAAUCAAUUUUCUGUUAAAAGAGAAUUCACCAUGAAGAAUAAAUAUAAGAUAGGACGUUAAGAGAGAGUAGAAAGUUUUAUAAAUACUUAACUUAGAUCUAAAGAGUGCAAGUGAAACCAGCGGGUGGUGUCUUUCCGCAAGUGACAAGAAGCUGAAGAGCAAGUGGAAGAUAGAUGUUAAGAUUAAGCAGCUUGAGCUUGAGAGUAGUGCACAAGCAGACAGCAGCUUCUAACUCAACAAGUCCUUGUAGAACUGGGCAGCAUUGGUUAACAACUGGGUCACCAAGACCAAUGUGAACCAACCCACCAAGAAGGUCCACACAAGCACCCAAUUUGAGGGUGUCAAUGGGGCAUGUGGCAGCAGCUGGUGGAGGUGGUGUGUAUGAACAUGGGCAUGGCUUCCUAGCACUUGGUGGGUUAGGGAGAACUGGAGGCAGUGUAACUGGUGGGAGAGUGGGGAGGUCGACUGGUGGCUUGAUCGGCGGGACGGUCACCGGAGGGAGAGUGACUGGUGGCAAGGGAACUGGGGGUUUGACAAUGGGAGGAAGACUGAUGGGUCUAGGCUGCCUAGGUUUCCUGUGCUUCGGGUGCGGCUUGCCACACGUGCCACAGCCAAGAAUGGGAGUGGCUGUGGAGAUGAAAAGCAUGCAAAUGAUGAGGAGAGCUGAGAGUUUGGAGGAGUCCAUUUUUUUUUUUUUUUCUUUAUUUUAAAUCUCUCUUCUUUCUGUUGUUGUAAGUUGUAACAAAGAGAGAGUGAUGAAGAUUUUGCAGGAAAAGCAUAGGAGUUAUAUAGGGGGUAGUGUGCGAGCAAAAUUUUUUAUUUUUUAUUUUAUUUCUUUUUUUUUGUAAGUCUAGAAAGCAAAUCACGUGAAGAUGAGCUAAUGAGCUCAGAAGGCAGCUGUCAGAUUUGGCUAGUUGGUAUUACAAAUGCAUAAUUUUGUGUUAUUUUUUGGAGUAGGGUUCGAUAUUUUAAAAUUUUAUCUCAGAUUUUUAAUUAAAUUAUUUGAUAUUUAUCAAGUGAAUGAUGAGAUAAAUUAAUUAUUUGGAAUUUUUGAAAAUUAUCAAGCAUAAACGAGACAUCAUAUGCCACAUAAUUUAAGAUAAAAUUAAAUUUAGGAUAAAAGUUUGGAAUGUAAAUUGUUAUAUAUUACUCUUAUUUUAUGAUUCAAUUAGCAAUGGUGUUUCUUUGUUAAUUAUUGUUGUUUUGUUCGGCUGCUCUGUUUUGGCUUGCAAAACGUCAUCGCGUUGUUACUCCAGUUAAUGUUAAUGUUAUUUUUCGAGGGAAUCAAAAAAUUAUCUUCGAUGAAUGUUAGGAAACAUCACUCAAGAAAUUAAUCAGAAAGUAGUUUUUUUUUUUUUUUUUUGUCCUCAAAAGUAACAUUAAUCUAGCACUGACAUACUCCCCCCCCCCCCCCCCCCCCCCCCCAAAUCUAACAUUCACAAAAAAAAACAAUAAAGAUGUUCAAAAUAUUUUAAAAAAUAAGUGAUCCGAAAACAAAUUAAUGUCUAAUAAUUUGAAGAACUAAAGAAGAAUUUAUCAUAGUUUUGUCUUUGACAUUUACUUGGCAACAAUUUUUAAGAAUUUUGCUUUGGUUUUUGUCUUACGUACAUAUUCUUAUGAAAGUUAAUGCAAAUUCUUCAGUGAUAAAUGUUGAAGAAUAAAACAAUAUUGAUAAAUAAGGAGAGUAGCUCUGUCCCAGUAGCAUGGGUACACAAAUUGUUUGGCUUCACUUUGUAAAAAGUGAGCCAAUUACCUUCGGAAUUUGGAUCAUUGGAUGAGUGAAAUGGAUUUACAUUCACAAGAGGCAUGUAAGCCUCAUGAUCAUGAACAAAUAAGAGAUUACGGCUCCGUUUGGGAUUCACGCUGAUUAAUGUUUAGUAAAUAUUAAUUAUUAUAACUUGCAAGUAAAGUUGAUUUAAUUUUACAUUUAUAUUAUAAAAAAUUUAUUAUAUUUUUAUUAAUUUUAUUAAAAUUUUUAUUUAAAAAUUACAUUUACUAUAUACAAUUAAUUGUGGAUGUCAAACUCAAAUUGUGGAUGGUUAGAAUCCCAGAAUAAGAAGAAAAUUUGAUUAUUCUAACGCUAAACAAUAAAAGGCAGGGGAAAAGGAAAAAAAAAAAAAAAAGAUCCAGAAGCGUUACUCUAUAUAUCAUAUUCAUAGGGCAAAAGGGGUUUGGUAUCCUUUUUUUGUCUUUUUUAAGGUCAACUAUGAUGGAGUCCUAUAAUUUGUUAUAAAAAUAAAAAAGUUAAAUUUUUUUAAAUUUUUACAUAUUAGUCCCACACCUUCAAAUAUUCAGUUGCAUUAAUGCUUCUGGAAGCCACAAUUUUCAGGACAAAAACUCAAUUAAAUUUAUUCCUUUUAUUUUAGGACAAAAAUUCAACCAAAAAUACAAAACUCAUUGCUCAAACAAACAAAAAUGAUUUUAUAAAUUCAUAAACUAACACUUUAUUAUUAUUAGUAAAUUAAAAUAUUUUUACUACAUAAUUAAAUAUUUUAGUAUGUUAAUUAAAUAUUAUGUUAUAAAAAAAUAAUAAAACAUUACCUACUAGAAUAUCAAAUUAAAUUUAUUUUCAUAUUUUGUGUAUUUCAUCUACUUGACAUAUAAAAUCUCUUGUUUAAAAAAAAAAAAAGAUAUGGGGCUUGAACCCUGCUCACAUGGGUGAAAGAAAAUUGGUUGCCGUGUUAAAUUAAAAAAAAAUCACAUUUAUAUUUAUCAUCAAUUAUGGUUAGUAAAUAAUUUACAUAGUUUAACUAUGAAUUUACAUAGCUUAAUUAUGUAAUAAAUUAGUUAAUAUAUUAAUUAAUAAGUAAAUUUAUUAAUUUAAAUAGAUAUUAAUAAAUGUAAGAAUAAGUCAUUUAAUUGAAAACCUAGUUCAAUAGAGUAAAAAAAAAUUAAAAUAUUGUGGACUUAUAUGUCAUGAUUGUAAAACUUUUGAUUUUUUUUAUUUUACAUGAACAACAAGGGCCUUUAAUAUUAAUGGCCCAAUAAUCACAUCUACCCAUUAUACAACUCUUUACGUUAAAUCCAACGGUAGAUUUGAAAAAGAUAAAAGAAGGGGUACCAAACCCCACAGGUAUAGUAGCUGGGCCCCGUAUUCAUAUAUGUUUAAAUCAGAAAAGAUUUUCAUAAUUAAAUAUAUAUACCCUACAAGUAUAAGACGCGGUUUUGUAUGAUCCACUAAUCCGUUCUUUUGCGGAAAAGAUCCCGCAGUCAAGCCACUAAAUUACGCUCACAAUUUCGAUAGUGGAAGUCAAUGGACCAAUUUGCUGCUGCAUAAACGUCAGCCUUAAAUUAACGAAAAGAAAAUCUAAUAAAAUAGACCCACUUAUGCCUUGCGACUUUCUCUUUUCUUUUCUUUUCUUUUUUUCUUUGGGUGAAAAUAAACAAAAUCUUAUCAUCAAUAAAUAUAUUAUAAUAUGAGGUUUUGGUAACUCUAGAAAGAUUAGACUAAGGUGGCGUUUGUUUUUUUGUCUGAAAUCUGAAUAGACCUGAAUUAGUCUGAAUUCUGAAUAGAUCUGAAUGUCUGAAUCUGAAUAAUAUGUUUGUUUUUUCGUCUGAAUCUCGAAAAAUAAUUAUUAAGUUGUUUGUUUUUUUCAACUUAAAAAACUGAAAAGUAUGUACUUUUACAUUUGUAUCCUUAUUAAAUUUGAAUGUCAAAUAAAUAAUAUAUUAAAUACCACAAUAUUUUAACAUUUAUAAGUAAAAUUAUAAUCAAGUGAAUACAUAAUGAUUUUGGAAUUUUAAUAUAUAAAAUACCAUAAAUUUCAAAUUUUAUCGUAUAUAAUAUAAAAAAGAAAAAAAACUAAUAAGAUACCUGAAAUAGUUGAUUUGCCAUUUCAUCUCGAAAUUGUCGCAUGUAAUUUUGAUCUUCCCUAGUUGAGGAGUUGAUACCAAAGUGAGGAGGGAUUUCAUGACGGCUAAAAAAAUAAUGAUGAGAUUAUUAUAUGGGGUAAAUAUCUAUGGGUGAAUUUUGGGAUAGAUAUGAAAAAUAAAUUAUAAAGUAGGGAUAUUUUUGACAUUAGAAAGUAAUUGACUUAAUUCAGAUGUCUCUAUUAAGUAAAAAGCCAAAAAAAUUGGCUUAUUUUAUUAAGUCAAAAUUAUCUAAAAAGUCACUUUAAGUUAUAAAAACAAACAUCUCUAAUUAACUUAAUUAAUUAAGUUAAGUCACUUUAAGUCAUUAAGUUAAAAAACAAACGCCACCUAACUUAAAAAUUUACUUCCCAUUAAUUAAACAACGCCAAAUCCAUAUUUUGUGGGGGAAAAAAAAAAAAAACUCCACGAAAGUUCGAUCGAGCUAGUGAGCUUAGACCAUCCCACCGUUGAUACAAUUGGGUCCUUAAUUAGAUUAAAUUGCAAAGAGAGUCCUACCCUUUAUCGUUUUUUUCUUUGUGUGUGUGGGUGGGUGGGGUGUAUAUAUAUAUAUAUAUACAAAUAGCUUAAUCAUUUUUAAAUUUUAGGGGCCCCUCGAAGGGAGACUCAUCAACUAGAGUGGGUUACAGUGAAGGUACUUCUGGUCUUUUCUCACGUGUCGAUGAUCUGGAUUUCAUACAUUAUAUCUUCCCUAAGUAUAUACGGAUUUCAUUUUAUGUUUAUCUAAAGUUUCAAUCUUUUCGUGAACAACUAUGGGAUCCACUUAAAAGUUGAGCAAUUUCUUUUCAAAGAAUAUAGUAUAAAGUUGAAAGGACUACCCACAAUUUCUUCUUGAUUUGAAAUUUUCACGUUGAUAAUUAGUAGGCAAUCCCUAUCUUACAUGCAUGUAAGAUAGAUGGAUCCUAAUUAGUAUUAUGGGCCAAUGUCAACCCAAAGUGAGCAUUAAUUUAAAGUCAAGAAUAUUAAAAAUGGGAAGGUAAGAAGAAAGAAAUCGAGGGAGGAAAACUCAAUGAUUAUAUAUAUUGUUGAUUAGAAAUGAAGUGCUUUAUUAUUUUUUUAUUAAUUAUUAUUAUUAUUUGUCGAUGAUUAUAUACAAGAGAGACUAUUUUAUUAAGGGAUAUUAUCAUUUGUAUACUCUAUAGAUGCUCUGUUAUCAAAAAUAUUACAACACUUUGAGGGUGUAUCAAUCGUCCACCCUAAAUUGACAAAAGUUAUAUGCCGACCACCAAAUCGUUAGCUGCCGUUUAUUAUUUAUUUGCUUAUAACAUCUUGGCUGGGAUUAAAAAUUUCCUUACAAUUUUAUCAUGUUUGCAAUAUAUGUAUCAUAAGUGAAGUCCAAAAACUGGGGUUGCUAUUGUUUUCAAUUACUUUGGACACGGUUUUAGAAUUUAGAAUCAAGAAUUAUGCCCAUAAUGAGAAUUUUGUUUUCCUUUUUGGGGGUAAAGAUAAACAAGCCAUAUGAAGAGGAGAAGAGAAUGAUAGGAGCAAGAAGGAACAGUACAGCGAGGCAGGCAUGUGAAUUGAUUGGUGGAUUUUAUCUUUUGCAGGUAACGAGUGAGGCUGGAAUUUUUUGUAAUCUUGUUCAUCCGUGAUCCUGCUUUCCCCUUCAUGAUGUGAUUUGUCGGCCUUUCUCUCUUUCUCUUCCUCUAUAACCGACCUUAUAUCUCUCUCGAUCAACUGCACCUCCCUUAUCAAAUAAUGUACUUAAUUUUAGACUGUGACAAAACACAAAAAUGUUACAAAAUGAGCCUUCAAUUAGCUACAUAAAUAUUACUAUAGUUCAGUCAUCCAUGAUUGCUAAUAUCUCUGUUGAGUUAAUUAGUUUGCUAAUAUCCAUGAUUAUUUUAGCAAAAAGUUGUGAAAAAUAAUUAACUUUUUUCCAAACCAAACUAAGUAUUUAGUAAAUGCACUGGUCGCUAAUAGUAGUUAUUAUAAUCUUAGAGGUAAAUUUUGUGAAGAAAACGUUAUUAUUGUAAAAUAAAUAUUAACAGUGUAUGUUAAAUAAUAUUUUUAAUAAAUAUAACAAAGGGAUUAUAAGUUUUCGAUCAUAUAUAAGUAUAAGAUAAAAUUAAUUUAAUUUUUAAACUACAGCAAUUAAUUUUUAUUAAAUAUUUUAAUUAACGCGAUAUCUUGUAAUCUACGUAUACGCCAACACAAAAAGAAAUAAGAAAUGGGGCCGUAAUGAACAUGAGAAAAAGAUGAAUUCAGAAGAGAAUGAGCCAAUAAAACUCAUCAGUCUACCUGUACUCUGGAAUUCGCAUUAUCUGUAUAAUCAGACAGGGCGGUUAUUAAUUGGCUUUUUGUCGUGUGCAGUGUCUGCUUACUGUUUCAUUUUGUAUACCAGAGGAUCAAAUGGCUGAGGUUUGCUCAACAGAACUAAUGGCCAGGAGCAAAACUCUCUCCGGUACGAGAUCUCAUGUGGGUUACGAUCCGGUGGUCGUGGCUUGUUCAAGAUCUUGUUAUUAGAUAAAGUACACCCAUACCAAGAUACCAUGUUCAACUUUUUUUUUCUUCUUUUAAUAAAGAAUUUGUGUAGUGCAAUAAUAACAUAUGCGCACAUGGAGAUAUCAUUUUCUUAAUUAUUUUUAAGUCUAUCAUCAUCCGGAUUCAUGCACGCAGGCCAAAUUGUAAGAAGUGAUAAGAUGAAGCAGGCACGAGGCAGGUCCUUGCCUCUCCGAUAUUGUGCGGUUUGUCAUUAGAGAUCCAGUCAUUUUUCAGACGAGCCAAAUAUGGAUCCGAUGCUUAUACAGAAGAAUAUUUGGUCAUUGUGUUACACUGAAAGGCAUAUGGGAAUGGUUUUAACUCAAGCUUCGUUCGUGAUUCUAGACUCUCCCUGCCAUGUCUCAUCUACUUUUCUAUUCUCAUUUGUAGAAAAAAGAAAAAAAAUAAUAAUAUUUGGUCAUUGAUAAAUUAUCCAAAUUAAUUAUGUUACACAUCCUUCUUUUAGUGGGAUUAUGAUAGGGAUGGCAAAGAGAGCCCGUCCCACUAGAGCAUGUUUUAUAAAUACUUGAGCUUCAUCUAAAAAGCUUGACUUUGAUCCAAAAAUUUGAGAAAUAUUUACAGUUAAAAAAAAUAAUUGUAAAAAUAUUUAUUAUUUUAAUUGAAAUACACUUUUUUAUGUAUACUUUAUCCACCCGUAACAUAUAUUUAUAGUUUUAAAUCCUAUAAGCCCAACUUUUAAAGCAUAAUCCCACAAAAAAUAAAAUUUUAUAAAUUAUAAAUUUAUAAAAUAAAAUUAAAAAAAUGCACAAUGUAAAAUUCCGACAUUUUAGCCCCUAAGCGCGUGGUCAGGUUGAUUGCAGCGCAGCUGCAGCUUCUACCAAAACAUGAGUUUAAUUUUUAGGGGUGAUAAGAGGAUAAAAACUUGUAUUUGAGCUUGCUCACCCCCUUACCUUAAAAAAAAAUCAGACAUUUUAACUUGGUCUGAAAAAAGUCCAACUCAUAUAUUUUGAGAUUAUCAUUGAAAAUAAAAUUUUUGUUUUUGGAUGAUUCUUGCCUCAUUAAUUAGAGAACCACACUUUGCUUUGAAUAAUAAAAAAUUACAAAUCAUUACAAUUAUAUACAUAGGAUAUAGCUGGGAGUCGAAGCUUAACAAAUUAAGGUGAAAUAUACUGAUGCUUAUAAAUAGCGAAUCCAUUCUCCCAUAACCGAACAAACAUAUACUACCACUCGAGCCUUGAAUGACAAAAAUGGAUAAUUAGGAAGGGAGGAUAACAUUACAAAGGCGACUCUUUUAUCUCUUAAUAUUGAAAUAUGAACCAUCAAAUCAAGUAAAUAGAAGGGUUAUUUUCUUUUCUAUUUUAAAAUUAUCAUAAUACAAUUUACUGAAUAAAACUUCAGUGACUUAAGGUUAUGUUUGGGAGUUAGGAUUAAGUGUGGGAUUAGAUUAGCUUUAGAAUUAAAUAUUCUAUUGUAUGUUUGGCAACUUUGCUUGGAUUGAAUUAGGAAUGACUAAAUUUAAAUUCAGUCCUUAAUUCAUGGGAUUAACAAUCCCAAUUUAUAAGCGGGUUUAGAUGAGAUUAGAAUAAGAGAAAAAAAAAUUAUUCAUUUACAAAUUUCUUUCAUAUAUAACACCAUUUUUAUAUUUAUUAUUUAAAAUUUAAUUAAUUAUUUAUUUUAUUCAUGAUUUACUUGAUAUUUAUUUUUUAGUUUGCUUUAUAGUCUAAUUAAAUUGGUACUUUUAUUCCAAUAAAAUUAACUAUUUAAUAAUUUAUUACAAUAAUUGAUUGUAUUAGAUUUAAUAAUCACUAUUGUAAUAUUAAAAAUAAUCAUGAAAAUUGAUAAUACAAGUAAUUAAUUGAUUAUAUAUAUAUUAUUUGCUAAUUUUUUGAUAAAAUAAAAUAUAUCUAAAAUAUUUGAUAAAAAUAAAUUAAACAAUUAAAUAGGUUUAUUAAUUUAUAUUUGUUUAUUAUAAUUAUGACUAUCCAAUAACUAAUUUACUAUACAUUUAAUGUUCUUAUUAAGUACCUUUAAAUUAAUUUUAAUUAUUACUCUUAAAUAUUCAUAAAUACUUUUUGUAUUUAAAUAUGAUUUAACAUUGUUCAAUCCGAUAUUAUACUAAACAUAAUAUAAUAUUGUAUAAUCUAACUUAAUCCAAUCCAUACUAAUUUAGUUCAAUCUAAUCUGCCCGCCAAAACACAGCCUAAGAGUCUAAUAAUUCAUUGAACGAUAGCAUAGAUUUAGUCCAUCAGAGCUCUAUUUACUCGUCAUAGAUUGAUUGAUGGUAUAAACUGGAUUUGUCGAGUAUGGUUGAAAAAAUUCUCGGUUAUUUGUGGGUAUUAAUUGAACUCGAGUAAGCUUGCAAUCGGGCUAAGAAUUACAUGACCAGCGAUCCAGCCCACAAGUCAACAGACUUGAACGAAAUCGAAGCCUCUCCUCAGAUUUGCGGGCAGCCCAGAGGGUAGGCCUUUUGACACCCCUUAAACUUCCUCAUGAAAUCCCUUUUCAAUUGAAAUUAUCAAAAUAACCAAAGCUAUAUUAACUUAUUUUUCACUUUAAGUAGAAUUUCAGUAUACUCACUUGAAUGAAUUUUUCUUUCAAUUUUUUUUUUACACCAAUCACAUUUCAUAAAUUAGAUUUAUAUUUUGAAAUUUAAUUGAUAUUUUUUAGAAAUUUGUAAGAGUAAAUAAAUUAAAAUCUUAAGAUUUUUAUGUAAUUUAAAAUAAAAAUUCAAAAGAAAUAUUCUUUUUAGAGAGAAAUUUUACUGCAAGAUGGUUAAUAUUUUAUAACUCCUUCAAGAAAUAAAAUUUAAAAGGGGUGUUGUAAAAACUUUAGAAGGGUGUUAAAAGCUACACUCUAGCCCAUAUCCCUUAUGCUUUCUUGUUUAUGUAUUGGACUAUUUGGUUCGAUCGAAACUAGAUUCAAUUCCUCCAAUUAGUUAAACUAAUCCACGUGUCACUCUCCUCAAAGCCCACCUUCUUUCUUCCCGCCAAAUCCGGAUCCUCGAAAACGACAGCUUCCUCAAACUAGAAUGUCAGCAAACAAGUAACAAGCAAGCAUGCAGAAGUUCUAAAAUUCCCGAGUCCCGUUAUGCCUCUGCCUUUCCCAUCUGAAAAAACAAAUGAAAGGGGAGGGGCAAGGCAAAGACUAUCGAAAUUAUCCCCCCCAAAUAACAAACCCUAAUAAGUAAUUAAAUCGAUCGAUCAAUCAAUCAAUUGAGAACUUUUUUUUUUUUUUUUUUUUUAAUAUAAUGGGGAUAUUAUAUGGGAUGGUGGCAAGAGGGAAUGUGGUAUUGGCGGAGUUUAGUGCGGCGCAAACAAAUGGAAAUGCAAUAGCGAGACAAGUAAUCGAUAAAUUGCCGCAGGGAAUUAGUGAUAGUAAUUUAUCUUAUUCUCAUGAUCACUACAUUUUUCACGUCAAACGAACCGAUAAUCUCACCGUUCUUUGCAUGGCUGAUGAUUCCUUUGGAUGUAGGCUUUUUGUUUUUUUUGGUUUGUCCGCUUAAUUUAUUAAUUAAACCUUGUACAUUGUUCUUUUAAUGCAUUUUGAUUGAAUGAAGCCUGCUUGACACUUGACACGACGCAUAAUAUGUUUGAUUGGGCAGUUGCAUUAAGUUUUAUUUGACCAUAAUGUGUUAUAUUUCUGUUCUUCCAUGGUAUCUAGAGACUCGACAUGUAGUGGCACCACAGAAUUAAGCCUUGAUGUAGAUUUAAUGUGUCACGAUGUUUUCAUCAGGCAGUAAUAAUUUCCAUGGAUCUUCGUAGGAGUAAAUUAGAGGGAGUUUCAAGAAUAUUUGUUUUGAAAUUAAUUUCUAUAGGUCAGUAGGGGAAGUUCCAUAGAUGAUGAUCUUAAUUGACUAAUCAACUUUUGUAUUAACUUAGCUAAUAUGAGUAUUCACCGGUGAUCAUUACGUGGUCUGAGCUGGUCAUUACCAGCUAAAUGACUCACAUUGUAUAAGGAGAAAGGUUCUUUGAUGGACUAAGUUAGUUGAUCUUGGAGUUGGAUUGCUUUUUUAUUUUGAAUAAUUAUUUCAUACAUACAAAUACAAUCGUUUAAACUUUGUGCAGGGAGAAUCCCUUUUGCAUUUCUUGAAGAUAUCCAUCAAAGGUUCGUGAAAACUUACGGCCGCUCUAUUCAUUCAGCGGCUGCUUAUGCGAUGAAUGAUGAAUUUUCACGGAUUCUGAGCAAGCAGAUGGACCACUACUCAAAUGAUCCGAAUGCGGACAGGCUCAACCGUUUGAAAGGUGAAAUGAGUCAUGUAAGUUGUGUAAAAUAAUAUAUCCAUUAUCUCGGCCUUAGUUAACAGAUGAUUUAAUUAAUUAAUCUUGUUAUUGCAACAGGUUAGGAGCGUAAUGAUAGACAAUAUUGAGAAGAUCGUGGAGAGGGGCGAUCGCUUGAAUCUGCUCGUUGAUAAAACGGCCACACUGCAUAGAAAUACAAUUCGAUUCAAAAGGCAGGCACGCAAAUACAAAAGUUCAGUGUGCUGGGGAAAUUGCAAGCUUGCGUAUGUGGUCAACUAAAUCAUUUGAUAAUAAGUUUAAUUAUUCAUGUGUAUUAUAUGAGAUGGGAGUACAAUCUUAACUUCUUUUCAUAUUAAUUCCAAUUUGCAGGUCUGGUUUAGUAUGUGUAAUCUUGAUAAUCAUUUAUGUUACGCUUGCAUUUUAUUGCCGUGAUCCCCUGUGGCGUUACUGCUUCGAGUGAAAUUGGCAGGAGCAGCUCAUCUCUUGUUCUUUUAAUGACUAACUGUAAAUUCCUUUCCAUUGUAGUGGUGCAAUUUUGCUUAGCAGAGUUGUAGAGGUUUAAUAUAUGGAAUGUACAUGCAUGUUGGACUGAAGCUGUGCAAAUCAAUUUCAGAAUUUGUUGAUUUAUUAGAGGAAUAAUUUGUUUCAAUAGUAAUUUUUUUUCUCUUUUCUCCAAGUUAAUGUUAAUUAAGUUUUCCCUUUUAAAAAAGGUGAUGUCAUUAAGGUUUGAAUACCCAGAUUUUCUUCAAAUUAAGGGUUAAAAAAAAAAAAAAAAAAAAGUCACUAUCGGAAUACAUUUUGAGAGCUUCUUGAUACUACUCUCCAAAGCAUUUACAAAUAAUCGUUUUACCUAUUUUAUGUUGGUUUGCUUAAAUAGAUACAAAUAUUUCGUUACAUUUUUUUGAAAUAAAAAAACCUUAUACAUCAUUGUGAAAAAUAUCAAGUUCAAAUAUUAGUUUUCUUCUAAAAUAAUUCGUUGUUAUCAGCUAGUUAUUAACAAUUAUCCGUCAAUUCUACAUUAUUUUUUUAAUGAAUAAUUCUCAUUAAAACAGAAAAUAAUAAAAGAUAACAACGUAAUAACUGCGGAAACUCCUUUAGUAAUGCAAAAGAACUGCAGUUUAUAAGUGGAAAAUUUAGCUGCUUAAUUACAAUAUUAGUUUUUUUUUGCUUAAUAUUAAUUACAAUAUUAGUUUGAUUGCACAUCAUUAAUGUAUAAAUCAAUCAGAAAAAGACCAAUUGCAAAAAUAUUAGCAGCCCUCCUACUAGCUUUCACCGUUGUCGAGUUUUGAUAACCACCGUUGAUGCCACAUCUCAGAUUCUUGUUCUAGAUAACGACAUCGACUGAAGGUGCGUUGUUACCAAAAUAUAUGUAAAUCAUCGAGUAUUAAGACGGUUAUGAACCUUCCAUUGCUAUCAUUUUACGACAAAAAUUAUAAGGCAAUCCCUAUCUUACAUGCAUGUAAGAUAGGGGGAUCCAAAUUAUAAAUAAGAAAUUAAUCACUGAUAAUAUUUGUACGAUUAUGUACAUACUGUAAAAUGUAAGAUAGGGGGAUCCAAAUUACAAAUAAGAAAUUAAUCACUGAUAAUAUCUGUACGAUUAUGUACAUACUGUAAAGAAAAUUCCAAAUUUCGAGGGGUACCAAUGAUAAUAUGAUCCAAAACACUAUGUACGGGGGGUUUGAACGUGGUAGCUGACGGUGAAGAAUGGGAUUUGCCCGUUUUAUUUUGAAGUCUUUGACACAAAUUGAUGUUACGUAAUAUAAAUAAGAAGAUGUAUCGUAAAUCAUUAACUUACAAAAUUGAAAAAUGAAAAACUAAAAAAGAAAAAAAAUAGAAAAAGAAAAAGAAUUCAAAUAAACUUGUCCGCACAGUAGUGCCGCCCACUCACGUGACGGUCUAUGCGGGCAACGCUCUUAUGCCCUUUUCUAGUCUUAAUGCUGACAGAGACAAAUACGCACUCUUCAAUAGACAAAAGUUUUAUUUUGAUUUCAAGCUUCUCUACUUCACUCUUGAUUCGCUCUCAGAUUGCUGGUUCUCUAUUCCGAAUUUCAGUUCCUGUUGAAAGUCGUUCGAUUUUGGUUAUGAGGGAAUUGAUUUUCUAUUUUAAGCACAAGUAAUUGAAAAUUAUUGCCUUAUCUUUAACUGCAUAGUAUAGCUUGCUUACCUGGGCUUUGAUUGAUUUUUGUUCUCUUGGCUCGCAGAUUUCUUUGUCGGAAUCGGAAUGCUGAGUAUCACUUUUGUUGGCGCAUGGUUUGUUGUUUGAAUUAAAUGGCGCGAGAAGCGACAGAGCUUGUGAACUAUCUUGAAUUUGAUCAUCGAUCAACAGGAAAGAGAAAACGAGCCGCCGUUGAACAACAGCAACCUGUUUCUGUUGCGGCAGCCUCUUUGGAACCUCGUGCUUGCAUUGAGCGCUCUGAAAAUGAAAUAUCAAGCAAGCGAGCUCCUGCGGCCGCUGAAAAGCUCUGGGAUGGGUCCCUCCAACUGAGUUCUUCUGUGCACGUGUCUGCUGUUGCCUUCUUUAAAAGGUUUAUUCAGUCACUUCUCAAAUUCGAUUCCAUUAUGAAUGUUUUGCUUUUAACUUCAAUUUCGAUAUCCGUGCUUGCGUUUCACUGGCCAUCUUUCUUUGUGAAGAUAAGUUAUCUUUUCGCAUUGAUAUAGUUAGUUCAUUUGAUAACAGUAUUCUCUCAUGUCUUGCGUUAUAAAUAAGCACAAUCACCCAAUGAGUUAAUGAAGAUGGGCAUGCAUCGCUAUUUCUUUUCAUAUUAAUGAUGUGAUGACUGAUUAUUGUGACACAAUCCCACUGAACUUAUAAAUUCUCGGACCAUAUGAUUGAAGAAUUAGCGACACAUCAAUCCUAGGAAAUGUCCUUAGAAAGAAAUGAACCACUUUUAAGUAUAUAAUAUUCAUGACAUUUCUGAUUUAGAGAAUCAAUAUGAUGAAGAAUCAUGCCUUCAGCAUAGAUAUUGAAGGUAUAGGUUGAUCUUCACAACCAAAAAAAUACCAUAACAUGGACUACAAAACAAUUUGCGUGACUGCAUUUGUCAUUAACAAGGGUAAUAGGAGUCCUUCGUAAAUGCACAUAUGUAUUACGGAUAUAAUCAAGGAUCUCCCUGGCUAUUGGAUGAGAAUGCAGGACCUGGUAACAUCUGGGGCAUUUUCAACACUUAUUGUGUCGGAGGACCAGUUUGAUCUUGUACAAGUAGAGAAUUUAACUUAGUUACAAGAAGAAGAGUGGGAAAGGGGGGGCCCUGAAACAGUAUGCCUGAAAAUAGCAGCAAAUUCUCACGAUAUCACCCAAGUUGCAUAACUAAAUGCAAAACAGACCCAUCCCUGUUCCCAUACAUGGGUUUCAUGAACUUUCCUAAUGCAUAUAAUGGAGCCACCAACAGAAACACCUAAAAUCAAUUGUCUCAGUAAUUUUGUACUGAAAAUAUACUUUUAACAUUUUCUUCCUUUCCAAUUGUGAGAAUGAUUGCAGACAGAAACUAAAAUAAUCCGAUAUUCCGAAACAAAAGUUUCUGAAAGGAGCUUAUUGGUACUCAACCUAUGAGGCAGACUUGAAUGAAUGUUUACAAAAUCUUCAUAAACUUAUAAAUGAGAAGUUAGACCCAAACUGAAAAUUGAUAUCAUUUAUGAAGAAGUGAUAAGAAAAGAAAGAUUAUCAAAUUGAUUAACACUCAAGCAGAGGAUGCUACUCUGUGUCAGAAUGCAAGAUCAGAAUGUAGCUUUCAAAGGAGGACCAGUGAUGAAAGCAAGUUAUUUAACUCAAUAAACAAGGUCAGACAGUGGAACUUUCAGUUGUAGUUUCAUUUCAUGCUAAUUGUUCAACUUCCACCUGAGUACGAUAUAGUGACUCCUAAUGAUCCUAUAGAUCUGCAGUAUCCUAUUAAUAAUCUUUCCUUUUAAAUCAUUUUUUUCAGGUUAACAAGAUAACAUUCGGGGGCCAAACUCUUAUUCUUGUACCAAUCACAUCAAUUGAAGUUUUGAUAAAAGAAUUAUCAAUCAAAGUGAUUCUACCUAGUUCAUAGAUAUUUUCCCCCUAUGCACAUUUCAGACAUGGUUCACAAAGUUCUAAGAUAUUUACAUGUUAUGUGUGAAGGUUUCAGUAGCUUAUUUAUUAUUAUUAUUAUUUUUAAAUUUUGUUGACCAUGUUUCUGUUUUUUUCCUCCUUUUCUUCUGUAGUGGUGAGAAGAUGUGCGAUGUCCAGUGGUCCGAUAUUGCAGAAGUCAAAGGAAAAGUUAGAUUAGAUGCCUUUGAAAAAUAUAUUCAAGAUCUUUCUCGCUCAAGAAACAGAAGAUUGAUGGUAAGAUAUGAUUUGUUCCACAUUUCUUUAACUAGGCAGUUCAGUUAUGUAUAUAGCGCUUGUUCUUUUUUUUUUUUUCGCUUAAGAAUCUAGGUUUCCUGUUGAUAUAACUAUCAUCGAACAAAUAUGAAGAGUCUUUCAAGGAUGAAACCAUUUAAACAAAUGAAUGCUAUCUGGCGAUGCUGAAGCAUUGGAAUAUUUUAUUUUUUCAAUUAAUGAAUACUAAAUAUGUGGCUUGUAUCUUGAAAAAAAUUCAACUGUAAAGCUUCUUUCUUUUGUAUUCUUUACUUAUCUAGUUAAUUUUCCUGUGUGACUGCAUCACAGCUUAUCUUGGUCCUGUUACUCUUUUAUAUGACGAUAUUUUCAAUCUGCUUGAUGCAUGGAAACCUCAGAUCCUUAAAUUCUAUGAUUUUUCAAGUUUGUUUACAAUGUGAAGGAGCUGUUUCUUCAAUAGGAGAGCUAGGGUUCUCAAGAAAAACUAACUACAAAGACAAAGAAAGGAGAAUAUUAAUGAUUAUAAGAUAGCUUAUAUAAUGUGAGACAAAACCACCUGAAAUACAGAUUGAACAAAUGAUUAAAUUUGGUAUAUUGCGCAUGAAAACAACUUAAUCCAUAUCUGUGGUGGCUUAGUAUACUAAUCAUGUUUCCAUUUAAAAAAAUUUGGGGUACAUCUCAUCUAACGAUGUCACGCAUGAUUGGUAAGCUACUGGUGCUUAGUAGCCAGCAAUGAUGUCUGAAUAUGGCAUAUUUUCUAUUGCAAUUAUCGUCCAAACUAUCAUUCUGAUUUAAGUUAUUAAGGAAAAUGAUGAUUGAAAAAACAAUGAAAAUGCAUCCAAGGGGGGACCAGAUUAUGGAGAAGUACAUUAAGAAGGUUGAAAACAAAAUCCUUAACUAGGUCUCAAGUGCUUGGAAAGUUUUCAUAAAUGAUGUUUAUUGUACUUAUGCACCGCUACAGACAGCUAUUGUGGGCUAAGGAUUCUCAGAAAGGUGAUGACUGAUGGCUGAUGAGUGCACCAAAAAACUAUGUGUGAUAGAAAAAAGUGUUCUUAAUGCAACUAAAUGCACUCAUGUUCUAAUAUAAAAAAGAUUUGCUGAGCAAUAAAUCAUACCAUACAUACAUAAGGUAUAAUCUAUAUUCUUAUGUGAUAUAUAUAUAUAUAUCGAAAGCUUUUACUUACUAGUCAUGCAUAAUAUAUAUAUAAGAACAUAGAUUAUUCAACAAUACACAAAUGUAGUGGGAACACAUAUACAUGUUUGUCUACAUCUAUCUUCAGGUAGUCUCACUGUGCUGGAAAGAAGGCUCUUCAAUAUCUGGACUGGUAGGCAUGCAAAAGGUGAGUACAUCAGAAUGGAAGAAAAAGUUGAAUAAGGUCAUCAUGUGAUAGGAGUUCAUCUUGAGUUUACUGAUCAAUGAGAUUCAUGUUUUUCUUGUGAUCCUGAUUUACAGGUUGCAGAAAGCUACAAAGAAUGGGAGAGAGUUGGGUUUGCGAAACUAUCACCAGGAGUUGAUCUCUAUGUUUGUCCUCGGAGUGACACCAUAAUCACAAUACUGGCAAAACAUGGGUUCUUCAAGGGCAUGGCUGCUAUACUAGACUACAAAGAUUCAAUGAUUGGUUGCGUUGUGAGGAGAAAAUCUCGAGAAUCUACUGGUUCUGCCACAGAGAAAUUUUACUGCAAAAAUUGUUCCCUGUCUGAGAAGUUUUUGAACUCCUCCUUUGGCUCUUCCAAUCAUAUGUCUGCAGAAAAAGAUUUAUCCAGGGAACAGCCAAUCCAGAAAUCCAUUCGAAUUGCUCGAGAAAAAGAGAGCAACGCUCUUGAGAGUGCAGGAAACUGGGGAAAUGAAGUCAAGCAUCUAAAGACUGGUGAGUCCAACUUGGAUUGCAUAAUUUGUCUGCCAAUACUAAUUUCUCACUGACAUCUUCAGUUCUGAGACCUGAUUCAUUUUUGGAUUCCAAGUGUGUCACAGACUCUGCCUCUCUCAAAGGUUCUAUGUCACAGUCAUCUGAAGUUGAAGCACCUCCUAUACACAAGUCAAGCAUGGAGAGAACCAAACUGAGUUUGGUUGCUCAUGAACCUGUCUUGUCUGUCCUAUCUGAUGUCACAAAGCAACCAGCAUCUACUCUUGAGGACCUUCCUGAAUUUGACUUUGGAACUGCCUGUGGUAUAUUUCUAACUCCAAAGAGUGUUCAUGCUGCUACAGUUGACACGAAACUUUUGACUCGAGGAUCAAAGAAAAUGGAUGGGUUAAUGCAGCCAACCAUGCCAACUUCACAGUCACCAUCAACUUUCAACAACCAGAGAUUGGAAAUUUUAAAUCCUAUACUGUUUCCAUUGAAUGAGAUCCAGAGAAUGCCUUUGCUGAAGAAAGUUAAUGAACAUGGGGAACCACAAACUGCCCAAAGCAGAGGCAUCGGGAUGCCAGUCACUGCUACUGCAGUUAACUCGAAGAAUCUUUUCGAAGAUGAUGACAUGCAUGAAUGGCGCCCACGAAAAUUUGAGCUUUCCAAGUUGUCAGUACCGCAGGUAACUUCUCCAUCCGUAAAUUCCAGCCCCUUGGAAGUACCCAACCCAACGAUAAGGCAUUUUUCUUUUGUCCCGCCCAUAACAUCUCCACCCAUAACUUCCGUUCCCUUGAAAGCACCCAACUCAACGUUAAGAAGUUAUUCUUUAAGCCUUCCAAGGCCCUCGCCGCCGAUAAUUCAUCCAUCCAUAACUUUCGGACCUUUGAAAGUAUCCAACUCAACGUUAAGUUUUUCUUUAAGCCAUCCGAGGCCCUCGCUGGCUGUGCUGCCGUUAACUUCUCCAUCCAUAACUUCCUACCCCUUGAAAGUACCCAACUCAAGCUCAAGAAGUUUUUCUCUUAGCCAUCCGGUAGUUGCUUAUCCCCACUGUUUUAACCAUGCAUUCCCUCGUGCAAAUUAUUACCCCAUGGACACUACAGUCAGGGUGGUGCCACAGAGGCCGCCAGAAGGAUAUGUACAAAUGGUGCCAGGUUCUUCAAUGGUGAUCAGUAGCAGCGCAAACCCACAAUUCGGGCCACCUCCCAACUCAUUGGCUGUCAAACUUCCUGUAAAUCCAGUAGGAUUGGGAGGCUGGAGGCCAUGAUUUUUCAGUGCUGUGGAACUCUAAGCUUUGCGGAAACCUGCUUGAGCAAGAGAGGGCAUUGCUGAAGCUUUAAUUUUAUUUUGGCUUCCUACACAAUAGAAACCAACGUGCAGGAUGAUGCAUGGAAUAUUUAUUUUCCUGCUUGUAUCCAGAAUUUUAAAGGUUCUCAAAUAAGGGGCAUACAGUUUUUAGUUCCCCUGUCAAAAUUAUAUCGUUUUACGAUUAUUGCUUAUCUAUACCAAGAAAAGUAUAGUUGAUUUACUACGAAUUACAAUAACUGCCGGGAAAGGAAGAUGGCCUGGAGAAGAUAGGCAAGCUCUUCCAUUUAGUCCAUUUCUGUGAAACGGCACUAAUGUAUCUAGUUGCAACACACAGAAAAAAUGUGAAACUAUACAAAAUGUUUGUAACCUAUAUUCUAAAUUUACAACUUGGAAUAAUUCUAAUAUCUCUCUCUCUCGUCUUCUUUUUUUUUUUUUUUUUUUUUUAAUACUUACAGAAACAUACUUCAAGAUAAUCCAGCGCGGUUAAAGGGUACUUAGAGGUGACACUGACUCAAUUAUUACUUUAAGCAGUAAUACUUGCGUGACAGUUGAGAAUUGAGAUUCACAAAAACAGAACCCAAGAGAAAAUAAUUUUUAAAACUUUACAAUAAAUCUGGUAUCAAAUAGCUGCCUAUUACCUAAUCAAAAUCAUCAACGGCAAGCCAGUCGCUUGAUUCACCUUCUGAAUCUUUAUCCCGAGAAGUUGUUGACCGGCAAGCCCUCUCUAGGUCACCACGAUGCAUAGAACUCUCUUGGAGCUGAACCCAAUCACUUGAUCCGCUUGGUGAAAUAGCUUUAGUGCCCUCCGCUGACCUCCUGGCUGAUAAUCUACCGGGACGAUCAUUGCUCUCAUCCUCCAACUCACUGAAUGAGACAUCCUCUUCAUGAUGAAUUUCUUUUCGUGUACUCACAGAAAAACCUGUAUCUGUGUCAUCCUCUUCCAACCAUUGCUCAGUAUUCUCUUCAUCUUCAAUUUCCAAAUCUUUUGUUGCAUUAACAAUCUUAGUAACAUCCUUUUCCCUGGAUCCAAUAUUUUCUUCUUGUGUCUCACCGAUUUCACUGCUCUUUUGUGAUGCAUCAGAAGUGUUAUUCCCCACUCGUACAUUCCUCAUGGUUUGCAGCUUCUGGAGAAGCAUAUUUCUUGUUGCAAUAAUCUGCAAAGAAAUAAGACUGAUUAAGAAUGACAUUUUUUUUUCCACAGUGAUUAUUACUAGAAAGAUGUAACAAACUGGACAAUAUGUUUCUUAUACUAAAUUGUACAAUACCAUUUGUCUUCUCAUCUGGAAUCCAUAAAGAUAUGUACAGUGAUGAUGGUCAUCGGGUGUCCAUGUUUGGUAGCGGUGAUGAUGGUGUUGUUGAGAGAUUAUACUGAAACACUAACAAAGGGUUGUAGUGUUGCACAGGGAGCAGACUAACUGAUUUUCUGUUCUUUUUUUUAUUAAAGAAAAAAAUAUCCUCUCUAAAUUUCAGACUUUAAUAACAAUAGAAGCAUAUCAAUGAAUAUAACUUCCACAAAAAGGUGACAUGAUGAAAUUUACGAAAAAAAAAUAUUGUAAUAAACAUAAGGAUAGGUAGACCAUCAAGACUCAAUGCAUCAAACAAAGUUGUUUUUGGGUUUGUAUUUGGAUACAUUAUGAUUCUUCCAUAUUGUAAUUCCAGGUGGAAUUUCACAACUUCUGCUGCGAGUGGUCUCAUUAAUAAAAGAGAUUCAUAUCUUAGAAAAGGGGGAGGAAAAGUGCCUAAUGGUCAUACAAACAUGAGUGGCCCCACAAUGACUGCUUCUAGGCUUUACAUGCAAAUAAAAUUUAGAAAAGAAAAGGCGAGAUAACAUAUGAAUGGAAGUUCUUGCCUUUGGAGUUGAAAGAAGCUCAAAAUCUUCUUCAUUUAGUCUUGGGAGCAAUAAUAUGAAAUAGAUCAUCCAAAAUCGGUUGUCUCCCAAGUGAGGACGAAGGCUGAUUCUAAGAUCUGUGAAACUUGGAACCAACCGUUCAACAGAAAAAGCGUGUUCUCUCUGAGCAUCAGACAUUUCAAAAUCUGCAAAAUGACAAGCCAAAAUUCAAAACCAAUUAAAGCAGUUGUAUUAGCCAUCCAUCUCCAUUUGAUUCAAAGGAUGUGAAAAAAUUUGAGAAGAAGUAAAUAAGGCCUACAAAGUUAAUACACAGUAAUCUUCUAUAUCAAACAGAAUCUAACUUUUGGAAAUCAGCAAUUGUACUCUCACCCUAACCAUGACAUUCUCCAUUCGAGUCCCAAACUUAAUCCAAUACAAAUUUGAGGAAUCAAGCAGUAGAAAUCAAUUCUUAGAAAUUCAGCAAUCAGCCAAACCUUUUAUAUCUAUAAUCUCAUUCCUAGAAACUAGCUGCCACUAAAGCACUCAUCCACCAAUCUAAAAAUAUAAGCCAGACAACAAACUCUGCAGCGUAUGAUUCAAAGGUUCAGCUAAGGCAAAGAAGAAAUAGCAGGUAACAACUCGCAUUAGGAGGAAUGCUUUUGAGAAUCUCAAAAUAAAGCACAAAAACUCACAAUGAGAAUUUCAAAAUAAGAAGAGAUAUCAUAAAAUUUAAAAAAGAAAAUUCAACAAAAUCACCACAUCAUAGCUUCUGCAUUUGCACAAAUGUCAAAAAAAGGAAAAAAAAAUUCAAACUAAAGAGUCUCUCACCCAAGACACCAUUCUUCGCGACUGCCACUUGCCCAUCAAACAAACAGAAGCUAUGCCUAAGCCAGACAGCACUGUACCUCGACAACAACUAUUGCAUGCUGAUAAAUACCUCGGGCAAAAUCCAAACUUUCAACUCUGAUGAUAUAACCAAAUACUCCCAAAUUUUGGCAGGAUAUAAUCACACUUGUCAUUGGUAGAUAACCCCAUGAAAACUCAUCUUGACAAAUGCCAAAUUUCCAGCAUACUUGCAUUUUUAUCCAAACACGGGCAACACGUGUUCGUAUUUUUAGUGUAUCAUAUACAAAAUUUAAGGCAUGCAUAUAAAUUUACAAGAUACAUGCUACAUUUUUAUGCUGAACUAAUUUAAAAAUUGGCAAGAAAUAAGUAACGAAAUCAUAAUUAAAAACGUAAGCAAGUAAGCAAAUUAUGAUUUUACCAUCAUCUAAUGAUAAAGGGAAAUCAGUCCAACACUCAGAACGGAGAGAAAUUUCCUUAACAAACUCAACAACCUCCCCCGUUAUCCCCGCAACUCCAUCAAAUUCUUCACCGUAAUCAUCCUGAUUUCGAAACUGCAACAGGUUAGAAGCGAGUUUCGAGAAUCCAGCAACCGCUUUGUUACCAGACAGCAGCGAGAGUCCACUCUUGAAACUGCCUCCGAUUUCCACGAGAUCGUCGCGGAUACCCUGCAGCGUCGGGGAAUCGGACGGCCGCGAUUGCGACUGACUUUCGGUGAUUGGCGGUGGUGCCAAGAAGGCGGCGACUCCGCGUAAUUGACGGCCGAUAUUUUCGCCGAGAACCGAGAGCUCCUCCUUUACGCCGCCGUUUCGAUUCGUCGGACUGCUUUGCGGCGAAUCAGAGCCGUCGGAUUGAAGCGAUUUGAAGAGCCAAGACAUCGCUUUCUUCGUCUUGCUUUAUCGAUUUGGAGUGCUAUUCUGGAAUUUAAGGGAAACGGUUAAACUAAACAAAAUGUACUUUUUCUGGUUCAAGCUGUCGGUUCUUUUUAUCAGAAUACUUUACAAAAUUAUAAAAUUGUUUGUUUGCUCUCUGUUUUCUUUAUAGAACUACUGAACUAGAAUACAAGAAGCUAUUGUUUAGUUUUGACAGUGAAUCUGAUCUUGCCACGUCAGCCAUUCUCUAAAAGCGGCAGGUACUUCGCUGAUUUUCAUUGUUACGUUGUAAAUGUUCCUCCAGCCCCUUGACUGUCAGGAGGACUUCAACUUUUUUUUUUUUUUUUGGGUUUGACUUUUGGUUCAAAAGAAAUUAUAUAAUUCGUUCGUAAAUUUGUUUAUUAGAGCAGCUCUGACUUAAUUCUAGGUUAAAUUUGUUUUUUUUCAUUUUUUUUUUUUGUGUGGAUAUUAGGUCUUCUUUUAUCUCAUCACGAUAGUCAUUUAUGUUUUGUAAAUGAAUGGCUAAACCGCCCACCAUCUUAUUAUAUUCUUAUAUAUGCAUUACCCACUAAAGUUAAUGUAUUAUCUUUUAUCUAAACAAAUCUGAAAAGAGUGAAAUCUAAUUAUGUAUUAGGGGAAACCUUAAUAACCCCGGCAUUUCAAUUGUCAAAUAUUCACACUGUUCGAGUUCGACGGUUAAUUCUAUCUUUUGGGGUAUCGCCGCACCGUUUCAAUUACUCAAAGUGGUCAACGAUUUGGCAACGCUAGUCUCUCUUCAAGGCGGCUGUUACUGUGAAUUGGGGUUGGGCUGUCAUGUUUGUUAAGGACGUGUGACCAGACGAAGUUGAUACCCAACGAAUCCACCUUCCCACCUAAUCUUUUUAACCUCAACAGAAAUUUUGACUCAAAAUUUUAUGUUACAAUUUAUAAGUUAUGUACUGUAUUUUAAUUUCUCUAGUCACAGACACAUGAUUAAAUUGCUCGUAUUCAUGACAGAAAUUGUGUUGUUGCCACUGUUGAAUCAUAACCAAACCCCACAAAAUUUAGAAAUAGAAAUAGAAACUUCAUUGGCUAAAGGCAACAAUUAACAAUAAUGAAAAAAAAAACAAAACAAAGUGACGAGAGAGUACAAAAAUAUCAAACAUUUAACUUGAAACCGCAGAAUAUCCAAGAUCAACCAAUCUCAAACGUAAUGUCUCAUUGAUAUGAAUGUGGUACAUCACAAAGAUUGCAGCUCUUUUUUAUCAUCUACAAGAAAAUCUUACCAGAGCUGUCCAAGGAAAAAAUAAUAAUAAUAAACAAGAAUAAGAUUCCUGCCCGAGCAUCAACAACUUCAAACAGGUAAAAAAAAAUUAGGUAGUUUAGAAAACUAUUAUUAUCCACUUGUCAAGAUAAAUAAUCAACAAUCAAGAAACCUCCCUCUCACUAAUUAUUUAAGAAAGAAUCUCAUUCUAGCUAACACUGCACAACAUAUGGUACACGACGAUCUAUUCUUGAAACAUUCCCGCAUUUCGAAAUCCUCAACCAACUAUUCCCCACUUUUUCACCUCCAUGUUUACUGAUGUCGAAAAUAUCCUUUGUGCAAAUCAUCUACAUAAGACCUGUAUACGGGUUGUAGGCUUGAACAGGCAUACCUGAACCAUAAGGGUGGACAUUGGCUGCAUAUGGGUUUGCAAAAGGAUUUGCAGUCUGUUGUGGGGCCAUCAUCAUCAUCUGCUGCUGUUGUUGCUGCUGCAACAUAAAAGCAUGCUGCUGAUUUGCCAUGGCUGCCAUCUGCACUGAAUGUGGAGCAGAAACCAUGCCUGAGGCAUAAAAGGGAUCAUGUCCAUUUGGUUGCAUCGUUGGACCAGCCAUUGGUUGUGGCCCCCAAGUACUGUAGGUCGCAUUCUGGCUGUUUCUUCUUAAUGCAUCAUCGUACAGGCUGUCCAAUGUAAGCUUGUCCAGCCCUCCCGCCUUUUAGAUGAAUACAGUAUGUAGAGCAUCAGCAAGGCAUCACUUGAAACAGGUAACAUGUAUGUGCUGGGUGCAUAAAUGCUGAAUGUUUCUGAUCAUAAAUACUGAUUUUGUAGUGUAGUGGGAGAUAUGGCAACCUUGGGGCCUCAAUAUUUAAAAGAUAAACAGAACAUUAAGAAUAUCUAGGGAAAAUGAGUACCAAUUUGCUGGCAGCAGUGGCAUUUUCAUUUGAGCUUGGAGCAGUAACAAGUGCCAAUUCCCAGCCUGCAGUUCCAUUUCCUUGAGUUGGAGCAACGGAAGUCGGUUGCUCGACUGCAACAACCACAAUGAUGAAAUCAUAAAUAAUUUCCCAGUCGUAAAUACAAGAUAACUGAGACAACAUAAUACUAAGACUUUUGACUCUUUUCAUGUUUCUAUGACAUUAUAAUUUCAAACAUAUUAGUGAUAACUACUAAAACUUAAGUUACUAUUGCUGGCCCUCACAAGUUAGCUUACGCUUUUGGGUCAAACAGUAACUGAACUAGUUACUAGAACUGGUUUGAUCAAGUUUGCUUCAGUUAGAAUCCCCUCACAUAAAAUAAAUAAUAUACCUGGAACAAUAGCCAAAGCAAGGGCAUUCUUCUCAUCUAAUUCUGAUGCGACAGGCAGAGGAUCAUCCAAGCCCUUUUGGAAAAAUGAAGAUUUUUUUAAAAAAAAGGUGAGAGAAAGAAAGCUGAAUGGUUAAGUUCUCAGGGGAAAACAAAAAAAAUGCUAUAUGUAGAGCUAACAAGUGAUGAAGUAAAGACUAUGAGGUUACCAGUAAAUCAGGAGGUUCAACGACUGGUGCUUCUACUUUUACUGGUUCAGGAGGAGGUGGUGACGGCGGCUUUGCUUCCUCCACCUCUGGGGUCUUUUUGUAUUCUAUGGCCAUCAUUUCCUUGGGUGCAUCAACUUUAUUGUCUACCAUCUGUGUGGUAGAAUUUUAAUAUCAAUAGUUAUAUCACAAAAAUUUACAAGUGAUUAAAAGCAACUUCAAAAGUCACCUAAUUGUCUGAUAUACAUAAACGAAUGCACGAUUAUCCAUAUCCAUAUUAAGAAAACAGAUGAAAAAUAGACGCUUUGCAUGUAACCUAAUGACAUAAGCAACAAUAUUAGUUUACAAGAUUUAACAAUUAUCACUACGGAUGCCUUAAUACGAGCCUGCUGAUAAUGCUUGUGUUUUGUCAUGUGCAUGGAGACACACAUACAGACACAGAGACAUGAACACAUAAAUACAUAGAUGCAUACACAUUCACAAAUACAUUAAAUCCGUUGUCAUUCAAAACAAAACCAGAUUAAUGAAUGACAUUAGUGUACCUGAUCUUUGCGAAAUGUUGAACCCCGCGGAGCUUCUUUCACAUACUCCUCCAUGGCUUGUAGAAAUGAUGCUGGGGGCUUCAGUAUUAAUACAAAAGUUAAUCAGUAAGUAGUAUAAGACAACAGUAAUGAGAUAGAAAGCAAGAAAAAUUAGUUUUCGAAGGCACCACAAGUACAGAACUCAAACCUGCUCAAUCUUUAUAAACCUUUCUCCACGUCCAAUAUCAAGACUUUUACAUACUUCAUAAAAUUCAGAUAGUCUCUCAGCCUGAAAAAACGGACAACAAGAAUGAAACCUACUAUGAAGGGAUCAUUGUCACAACAAGAAUAUUGCAAAAGGCAAUACCUGCUGCCCAGCCCUCCUAUAUAUAUCCAGUGCCUUUAAAGCAUCAUGGCGUUGCAUCUCAAAGAACUGUCAUAGUUAAGGUUAGCAAACUUUUCUCAGCCAAGCUUAUUGAAGGAAAUAUAGACAGUUGCUUACCUUGUCAACCAAAUUUACUGUACCAUCACUUAUUGCUUGAUAUAUUUUAGUGCUUUCAGAAGCAACCUAUUUACAUCAAAGAAGACAUGUUAGAAACAAUACAACAGAAUUUUCAAAUCACAUGGAGAAAUCACAUGUUUGAUUAACAGUUCACAUACCAAUGAAAGGGCCAACUGAAUCACAAAAUUAUGAACUGCUGCCCCUUGCGGCUGUAGAAAUAUCACAAAUAUAGUCCAUUAAAAGCAAAGUUAAACAUAACAAAUGUGUAAAAGUGUGGUAUGGAUUGAUGUGCAAUCAAAGCCAUCAUUUGCAAGUAACAAGCAUACAUCAUUAUGUGUGAAACAAGUGCAUUGAUGCUUAAUUGACAGCAUCCAAAGAAUUACCUGACAGCCAAGGACACGGAAAAGAAGCAGUUGCAAAGCUGGUAAAUGCUCAAGCAAUUCGGCAGUGUCCAAAUCUUUGGUUCUCUGCAUCAAAGCUUGUAUGUGUUAGGAACUUUUCUCAUUUUGCCCUUUAUUGUUUUCCAUUGGCUUAAAUAGAAUCUACAACAACAUGUUUCUAACACCACAGCUUUUAGAAAAACAUAUUGAAAAGUUUAUGAAAGGAAGAUGAGAUGACGUCCUUUUGCAAAUAAAAAAGAGAAUGCUGGGGGAAGGAAAGGGGAAUAGAUUGUACAACUGCAAGUUCCAAUUAUUCAUCGAGUUAAAGGGUAAAAAAACUACAAACUUAUGCAAUCUAGUUCCAAAGCAUAAGAGGGAUAGUAGUAACUGUAGCAUCUGUUUACUGAAAACUUAUUAUCUAAAAAAAAAUCUUCUCUCUUAAUUCAAAUAAUGUCUAACAUAAUUUUCUCUUUUAAUUCAAAUAAUGUCUAACAUAAUUUCCUGUCUGUUUGAAUUUAAGCAGUUCUUUUUAAUUCCUCUUCUUUUAAAUGCAUCAAAGCCUAACCCAUUAAAACAGAUUGAAUUAACUGAAUGGUUAGAUGUCAUAGUGAAAUGGAGUGUAGCAAUUAAUUCUUCCACAGAUAUAAAUAA